CACAAUGCCACAGAUGUCUCAAGUUUUGAGGGAGCGUGCAAUUGGCAUGCUGUCUGCAGGAAUGUCCACCAUAGCUGUUGCCAGAUAAUUGAAUGUUAAUUUCUCUACCAAAUCGAGUGCAAUGUCGUUUUAGAGAAUUUGGCAGUACAUCCAACCGGCCUCACAACCGCAGACCAUGUGUAAACAUGCCAGACCAGGACCUCCACAUCUGGCUUCUUCACCUGUGGGAUCGUCUGAGACCAGCCACGUGGACAGCUGAUGAAACUGCGGGGUCUUGACCUGACUGCAGUUCGGCGUCGUAACCAACUUCAGGGGGCAAAUGCUCACCUUCGAUGACCACCGGCACGCUGGAGAAGUGGGCUCUCCACGGAUUAAUCCCGGUUUCAACUGCUGAUCGGGCAGACAGCAGACAGCGUGAAUGUGGUCGUUUGGGCGAGCAGUUUGCUGAUGCCAACGUUGUGAACAGAGUGCCUCAUGGUGGUGGUGGGGUUAUGGUAUGGGCAGGCAUAAGCUACUGACAGUGAACACAAUUGCAUUUAAUCAAUGGCAAUUUGAAUCCCCAGCGAUACCAUGACGAGAUCCUGAGGCCCAUUGUCGUGCCAUUCAUCCGCCGCUUUCACCUCAUGUUUCAGCAUGAUAAUGCACAGCCCCAUGUCAUAAGGAUCUGUACACAAUUCCUGGAAGCUGAAAAUGUCCCAGUUCUUCCAUGGCCUGCAUACUUACCAGACAUGUCACCCAUCGAGCAUGUUUGGGAUGCUCUGGAUCAGUGGUCGCCAACUGGUCGAUCUUCAAGGCAUUCCUAGUCGAUCACCAAAUAUUUCUGUAGAAAAGCCAACGAACGAUAAAGGCUUGCGCUCCUUUUUUAAAAUCGUGUUGAGCGCACAGGGUAAGCAAAGUGUUUCCACGAGACAAACUCUGCCUAUCCGCAAGACCGGCAAAUCUGUGACUAAAUCGAGUGCACCUACUGCGCUGCCCAAUCGGAUAGCUCAAAUCACUGUGGCUACAGAGCUUCCAUGACCCUGGCCACAGCUAAGUUUAAUAGGCUACUAGCGUACGUACGAUUUUAUAACUUUUAAAACCAUGACCACAGAGGAUCUGUCAACGAAUACAGCAAAGAGCUGGUGAUUUUAUGAGUAAAGUGGAGCUGAGAACCAGUACUGAGGUAAAGGCUCAGUGUGAUCAGAAUGUGUCCCUGCAGUGUGACAUCAUGUCACCGAGCCCACUCAAGAUCAUUCUCUUUUCCUGGGUAAGGAAAGGGAAACAGCUGUGUGUGGUCAAUGCCACUGGUGUAUUCUCCUUUCCUGGCGUCCGGUGUGACAACACAAACAACACCCUCACACUCAAUCUGACUCGGGUGAUGCCGUCCAGUCAGGGUAACUACACCUGCAAACUGCGCUCCAACCUAACGAUCACAGCUGCCAACACCACUGUGACAAUGCAAGAGUGCCUAAGGACAUCUGAGCACAAAGUGUUCCAGAAUGAGUCUCAGGUUGAGUGCCAGUUAUUUGGAGUUUACCCAGAAGGCACAGUACACUGGUUCCUGGGCUCUGAGAAUAUAACAGAGUCCGCCAGCACAAAGAGCCAGCUGGAUGAAGAGGGGCUGUUUGAUAUAAGGAGUACCCUGCCUACCCAGGCUGGGACUGAGCCUUACAACUGCUCCUUGUGGAUACCUAGUAGUGGAACCUACAGCUCUCACAAACAGCUGCACUACUCCAGGGGGCUCUCUUCAGGGACAAAGACUAGGAGCAGACUGCUGUUGUUCUUCAUCCUGGUUGGACUCAUAAUCAUAAUUUAGGACUACUCAUGGGAAGGUCAGGAGUUUUUUUACUGAAUAUGGGACUUCGAACUACAGUAGGGCAAAGGGCUUUUCUGGUCAGGGCACAUCUACACAGGAUGGAUCAGGGCCUUUCUCUUACUGAGUGAAGAGAAAGCAAACCUGGACUGCCAUGGCCAAAGUAGAUAUAUGUUUUCACUUAUUAUACUGGGAAGCAAAAUAUCAAAGAAAUUGCAAUAAAUACAAUUGAAUUUUAAAGCUGAAAAUCAUUGUACAUUGGGAUUUGAGAAUACUGUAAGAAGUAUUCAUCCGUUCAUCGUUUGUCUUCAACGUUAUACACUUGCUUAAAUUGCAUUGCUUAUUACAGUAGUAGAGUACUGCUUCCUGGUGGUGAAAGUGUUUACUGAUGGAAAUAGUAUUGAUGUUAGAUGAGUAAUAAAGCUGUUCUAAAUUGUAUUGUUGAAUUGACUGAUCUUGCUUAUUAAGUCUGUCAUAUCUUGUUGCUGUGUUUUCCAGUCAGCACUGAUUAGACUGAUUAUAUAAUCAAUCAAUGCAAUGUCAAAACAUGGCUAGAAGGACAUGUUACUGUGUGUUCUGGAUUCUAAAAUACAACUUGAAUUGUACCAUAGCAAAUAUAGUCACCCGUGUUGUUUUCUGUACUAGUUCUCAAUUUAAAAAUGAACCAGACCACCCUGGGUACUCAUGACAUUGACAGUAAAAGAAUGAGGACUCAUGGUCAUUCAAAUUGCAUUUCUAGUUCCUUCUCAGUGUACCACAAGGGGGCAGAGUCAUCCCACCAGAGAGGACUGUCAAACCAAUCAUACACAACUCUUCUCCCUCUGCAUACAAACACACACUCAUGCUGUGUGAAUUCCAAUCCAACUGUUCUGUAUAAAUCAACACUUUGAUGUGACACAUUUCCUAUCAAUUUCCUCUACGCCAAUGUGGGUCUCCUGCAAAGUGAAGGAGUGAAGGGUAAAAUGUCUG
RNAcentral lists this long non-coding RNA (2761 nucleotides) under Salmo salar (Atlantic salmon). Its description in RNAcentral is "lncRNA (ENSSSAG00000096674.1)". The record is from RNAcentral. Lineage: Eukaryota; Metazoa; Chordata; Actinopteri; Salmoniformes; Salmonidae.